RNAcentral lists this ribosomal RNA (424 nucleotides) under uncultured prokaryote. RNAcentral describes it as "bacterial SSU rRNA". It matches the Rfam family "Bacterial small subunit ribosomal RNA", at positions 355 to 796 of the family's 1533-position model. The record is from RNAcentral.
UGGGGAAUCUUCGGCAAUGGGGGCAACCCUGACCGAGCCAUGCCGCGUGAGUGACGAAGGCCUUAGGGUCGUAAAGCUCUUUCGCCUGCGAAGAUAAUGACGGUAGCAGGUAAAGAAACCCCGGCUAACUCCGUGCCAGCAGCCGCGGUAAUACGGAGGGGGUUAGCGUUGUUCGGAAUUACUGGGCGUAAAGCGCGCGUAGGCGGACUAUUAAGUCAGGGGUGAAAUCCCGGGGCUCAACCCCGGAACUGCCUUUGAUACUGGUAGUCUUGAGUUCGAGAGAGGUGAGUGGAACUCCGAGUGUAGAGGUGAAAUUCGUAGAUAUUCGGAAGAACACCAGUGGCGAAGGCGGCUCACUGGCUCGAUACUGACGCUGAGGUGCGAAAGUGUGGGGAGCAAACAGGAUUAGAUACCCCCGUAGUCC